UACAGAGGGUGCAAGCGUUGUUCGGAAUUACUGGGCGUAAAGGGCUCGUAGGCGGCCAACUAAGUCAGACGUGAAAUCCCCAGGCUUAACCUGGGAACUGCGUCUGAUACUGGAUGGCUUGAGAUUGGGAGAGGGAUGCGGAAUUCCAGGUGUAGCGGUGAAAUGCGUAGAUAUCUGGAGGAACACCGGUGGCGAAGGCGACAUCCUGGACCAACACUGACGCUGAGGAGCGAAAGCCAGGGGAGCAAACAGG
RNAcentral lists this ribosomal RNA (253 nucleotides) under uncultured bacterium. Its description in RNAcentral is "partial 16S ribosomal RNA". It matches the Rfam family "Bacterial small subunit ribosomal RNA", at positions 524 to 776 of the family's 1533-position model. The record is from RNAcentral.